AGCCAUAUCCAUAUCACCCUGCAGACCAAGACCGGUUACUCGUUGAAGCUAAGCAAGGCUGAGCCUGGCCAGUACCUGGAUGGGAGUACACAUGUUAAAACUAGGUUGCUGUUGGAA
This 117-nucleotide ribosomal RNA is filed under the name Danio rerio (zebrafish). The record is from RNAcentral. Lineage: Eukaryota; Metazoa; Chordata; Actinopteri; Cypriniformes; Danionidae.